AACUCGCCGGGGCUGGCGGCGGCGCCAUUUUGAAUCGGCCGAGGGUCGGAGGCGGCGGCUGCCGAGCUGGGAUCCGCGUCACCCGAGCGAGAACCGGCGAGGAAGGAGCGGAUAUGGCCGCGAAUAGGAACUUGAAGCAAGUGCGGAUCGAGAAUAGCUCCCCAGCGGCGCCGCUGGGCAUGGUGGGGGGUGGCGGCGGCGGCGGCGGCAACCUGAAAGGAUUGCGGGGCCUAGAAACGGAGAGUGAGGCGGCGGCGGCCAUGGCGCUGGCGCCGAGCAAAGAAGGUGGCGGAGAUGAGGAGCAGGAGGGUGGCUUCACCAUCGAUAUCAAGAGCUUUCUCAAACCUGGAGAGAAGAGCUACACUCAGCGCUGCCGGCUGUUCGUGGGGAAUCUGCCUACGGAUAUCACCGAGGAGGAUUUCAAGCGCCUCUUCGAGCGCUACGGGGAGCCCAGCGAGGUCUUCAUCAAUCGGGACCGUGGCUUCGGCUUCAUCCGCCUGGAAUCUAGGACCCUGGCUGAAAUAGCGAAGGCAGAACUUGAUGGUACUAUUUUGAAGAGCAGACCGCUUCGAAUUCGAUUUGCUACACAUGGAGCUGCCUUAACUGUCAAGAAUCUUUCACCUGUGGUUUCUAAUGAGCUGCUGGAACAAGCAUUCUCUCAAUUCGGGCCAGUGGAAAGAGCGGUUGUUGUAGUAGAUGAUCGUGGCAGAGCUACAGGAAAAGGUUUCGUAGAGUUUGCAGCAAAACCUCCAGCACGAAAAGCUCUAGAAAGAUGCAGCGAUGGGGCAUUCUUGCUAACAACAACACCUCGACCUGUUGUUGUAGAACCAAUGGAGCAAUUUGAUGAUGAAGAUGGACUCCCAGAGAAGCUAAUGCAAAAAACACAACAGUACCACAAGGAAAGAGAACAACCUCCACGUUUUGCUCAGCCUGGAACGUUUGAGUUUGAGUAUGCUUCACGGUGGAAGGCUCUUGAUGAGAUGGAAAAGCAACAGCGUGAACAGGUCGACAGGAACAUUAGAGAAGCCAAAGAGAAACUAGAGGCAGAAAUGGAAGCAGCUAGGCAUGAGCAUCAGUUAAUGCUGAUGAGGCAAGAUCUCAUGCGUCGCCAAGAAGAAUUGAGGCGUUUGGAAGAACUUCGAAAUCAAGAACUUCAAAAACGCAAGCAGAUACAAUUGAGACAUGAAGAAGAACACAGACGUCGUGAAGAAGAGAUGCUACGUCAGAGGGAACAGGAGGAAUUACGACGUCAGCAGGAAGGAGGAUUUAAGCCAAAUUUCAUGGACAAUAGAGAACAGGAAAUGAGAAUGGGUGAUAUGGGUCCUCGUGGAGCAAUUAACAUGGGAGAUGCGUUUAGCCCAGCACCUGCUGGUAACCAAGGCCCUCCUCCAAUGAUGGGUAUGAAUAUGAACAACAGAGGAACUUUACCUGGCCCUGCAAUGGGUCCUGGUCCUUCCAUGGGACCAGAAGGAGCUGCAAAUAUGGGAACACCAAUGAUGCCAGAUAAUGGAACAGUGGUUACUAUUAAAAUCUUAAAAUGCUGAUGAAGACUGCCUUGUGCAGAAUCCUCGUGUAUCUUAAGCACACGAAAGAGAAUCAUAAACCAAGUUUUAGUACAAGGUUUCAAUGAAAGCUGCUGGUGGCUGCACACCCUGAGAAGGUGGCUUUCUGCUAUACAGUGAUGAUGUGAAAAAUGCUGCUCUUCACCUCAGAGUUACAAGGACCGUCAGCGGUGAGAAUUGUGGUGUCACCUGCUAGAGCACUUAACAGUGGCUGUGACUUUUGUGAUGACUGGGCUGUCCUGUGAGACCUGAGAAAAAAGGGCUGUUUGAAACGAUAGGAAGGGACUCAGCCUGGAGGUGGUGCGUCCUCACCAAUGUCCCAGCUUGGAAAAGACACAUUGGAAGAACGUGAAUACAAUGUCUGUUUGUGGGGGUCCAGAGACUUCUUCCUGUAUGAGGAUAGGAAUUAUGACUUUUGUGACAUCACUGUCUUCAGCCUCUGGCACAGACGGUGGUACCCAGGGAGAAGCCAAGUCCAGCAUUUCAUAGGAAAGCUGAUGUUGGCCAACUUUGAUGGGUAACUGAGGUACCGACACUCUAUCUAAACUGCACUGGAAGCAGAUUCUCUUUCUAGAAAUAGUGCUAAGGAAACAGUGUUUGAUAAAAGGAUUAAAGGUUGUACAUGCUACAAAAAGAAUCAGAGUAAAUGAUAUAUUAAAAGACUGCUGCUUGGUUUCAGUUAUUGCUUUUGGACUAAAAAAAAGCCUUAAGAGUUAAAUGAAUAAGAAAAUACUUUCAGGCCCUAAAAUACAUGACAAAAAAUAGGAAAGGGGUGGGAGUUAAAAAAAAACCAGUAGUGUGGAUUGGAUUUAUGCUGCAGUAGUUUUGAAAAACACAGAAGUAUUAAUUACCAAGAGAAAAAUGAUCUGAGCCAGUGACAGCUGAAAAGAACUGGAAGGAAAUAACAUUGGGGUUAUUAAGCAUAGGGGAGACCACAGGUGCAGUAAGCUUUCCGUUGAGGUCUGUCCAGUUGAGGUGGAAAUUAUGCUGCAACUGCCUGCUGUCUUAAUGUAGCCCAAUAAAAAUUUGAAAACCCAUGAAUGAAUAAUGAAAAAUUAAUUUUUAUGUGAUGCGAUUAACAUUGGCCUGUAAUGUAUCACCAGGGGUUUUUUCAGUGUUUCUGUAGCUAUUGUUAAAAUUGUUUCAAAUUAAAUAACAGGAUGUUUACUUUCUGUUUCUUGAAAUCAACAAGGCAGUGAACAUGAAUUGAAGGCUGGAGAGGAACCUCACCCGGUUCAAAAAAGGCAAAUGCAGAGUCUGCAGUGGGAACUGAAUUAAAGCAGUUUUUUAUCCUGAGCACAGACUGUUUGCGAAGUAGCUUUGCAGAGGUUGAUCUGGGGCCCUAAAGGACGAGUGAAGAUGAAGGUGUCCAACCACAUUCUAGCUCCCAUUAGAAGAGCACAGCUGAGCAAGGGCCAGGAGAGCAGUCUGUCCUCUCUGUUCAGCAGGUCUGAGACUGCAGCUGGAACACUGUACACUGUGACCAGUUCUGGGCUCCUGAAGACAAGAUAUAUUGGGAACAAGUCCUGUGGAGGCCAGUGGGAUGACCAGAAGUUUGGAGCACAGGAGCUACGGGGCUGGACAGCAGGGUUUGUUCUGGCUGGAGAACAGGAGGUGGCAGGGCCUAGGAGAUAUUCUUAAUCCAGCUGUGUAACAGAAGGGGGUAGGGACGAUGGAGCCAGACUCAUUUUAGUGGUGCACAGCAGUGUUUCAGAGUAUGGAAGUGUUGCAUCACACUGCUUAUAGAAACAGUGCAGGUCAGUACUGUGUUGCUGUACUUACUUGGACUCCCUGCACUGUGAAACCAUUGGGGGUUUUCUGGGAAUCAUUUUGUUUCAGGAAGGAUGCAUGCAAGGGACGUGGUCUGUGGGGUUCUCUUGUGGUUUCAGGUAUCUUGAUUAUGCUCUUCAUAGAAAGAACUAUUCCAAUAUUGACACAAUAGAUGUGACAGAUGCAGGAAAGUAAGGGACCUUUCAAAGCUUUUAAAUGUCCUGUGCAAGCUUUUCCAGAGGGAUUGUCUCAUCCAGCUUUGUAAAGCCUUUUUGAAAAAAAAACUCUGUAUGUCAGCACAGCCUUUACAGGCUGGGGCUCUGCUGUUACUGCUUGGGGCUGGGAGAGCAGCUUUUCUCCCAUAUGGAUGAUUGUGUUCAGUGUAAGACAUGCAACUGCUGUUAACAGGCCUAACUGGGCUUUUCUUCCCCAAAAUUAAAGAUCCUUUUUAAACCUUAA
RNA transcript from Pipra filicauda (Wire-tailed manakin), 3791 nucleotides. It is a transcript of the gene named paraspeckle component 1, with no coding region annotated. The record is from RefSeq and is a predicted model, not a curated record. NCBI's taxonomy places the organism in Eukaryota, Metazoa, Chordata, Aves, Passeriformes, Pipridae. The transcript is spliced from 11 exons.